UUGCUUUGGCAGCACAUCUACUAAAACUGGAACAAUACAGAGAUGCGCAUGGCCUCAUCUGAUGAUAGCAAAUUCGUGAAGCAUUCCAUUUUUUA
RNAcentral lists this small nuclear RNA (95 nucleotides) under Dipodomys ordii (Ord's kangaroo rat). Lineage: Eukaryota; Metazoa; Chordata; Mammalia; Rodentia; Heteromyidae. The record is from RNAcentral.